AACGAACGCUGGCGGCAUGCCUAACACAUGCAAGUCGAACGAUUGCCUUCGGGUGAUAGUGGCGCACGGGUGCGUAACGCGUGGGAAUCUGCCCUUAGGUUCGGAAUAACAGCUGGAAACGGCUGCUAAUACCGGAUGAUAUCGCCAGAUCAAAGAUUUAUCGCCUGAGGAUGAGCCCGCGUUGGAUUAGGUAGUUGGUGGGGUAAAGGCCUACCAAGCCGACGAUCCAUAGCUGGUCUGAGAGGAUGAUCAGCCACACUGGGACUGAGACACGGCCCAGACUCCUACGGGAGGCAGCAGUGGGGUAUAUUGGACAAUGGGCGCAAGCCUGAUCCAGCAAUGCCGCGUGAGUGAUGAGGGCCCUAGGGUUGUAAAGCUCUUUUACCCGGGAAGAUAAUGACUGUACCGGGAGAAUAAGCCCCGGCUAACUCCGUG
Molecule: ribosomal RNA, 435 nt
Filed under: uncultured bacterium
Lineage: Bacteria
Description: partial 16S ribosomal RNA
Rfam family: Bacterial small subunit ribosomal RNA
Source: RNAcentral